GCCGGACUGAGAGGUUGAACGGCCACAUUGGGACUGAGAUACGGCCCAGACUCCUACGGGAGGCAGCAGUGGGGAAUAUUGGGCAAUGGGGGAAACCCUGACCCAGCAACGCCGCGUGAAGGAGGAAGAAGGUCUUCGGAUUGUAAACUCCUGUUGUUGAGGAAGAUAAUGACGGUACUCAACAAGGAAGUGACGGCUAACUACGUGCCAGCAGCCGCGGUAAAACGUAGGUCACAAGCGUUGUCCGGAAUUACUGGUGUAAAGGGAGCGCAGGCGGGCGAUCAAGCUGGAAGUGAAAUCCAUGGGCUCAACCCAUGAACUGCUUUCAAAACUGAUUGUCUUGAGUAGUGCAGAGGUAGGCGGAAUUCCCGGUGUAGCGGUGGAAUGCGUAGAUAUCGGGAGGAACACCAGUGGCGAAGGCGGCCUACUGGGCACCAACUGACGCUGAGGCUCGAAAGUGUGGGUAGCAAACAGGAUUAGAUACCCUGGUAGUCCACACCGUAAACGAUGAUUACUAGGUGUUGGAGGAUUGACCCCUUCAGUGCCGCAGUUAACACAAUAAGUAAUCCACCUGGGGAGUACGACCGCAAGGUUGAAACUCAAAGGAAUUGACGGGGGCCCGCACAAGCAGUGGAGUAUGUGGUUUAAUUCGACGCAACGCGAAGAACCUUACCAAGUCUUGACAUCCUGCGACGAUGCUAGAAAUAGUAUUUUCCUUCGGGACGCAGAGACAGGUGGUGCAUGGUUGUCGUCAGCUCGUGUCGUGAGAUGUUGGGUUAAGUCCCGCAACGAGCGCAACCCUUAUGGUCAGUUACUACGCAAGAGGACUCUGGCCAGACUGCCGUUGACAAAACGGAGGAAGGUGGGGAUGACGUCAAAUCAUCAUGCCCUUUAUGACUUGGGCUACACACGUACUACAAUGGCGUUAAACAAAGAGAAGCAAGACCGCGAGGUGGAGCAAAACUCAGAAACAACGUCCCAGUUCGGACUGCAGGCUGCAACUCGCCUGCACGAAGUCGGAAUUGCUAGUAAUCGUGGAUCAGCAUGCCACGGUGAAUACGUUCCCGGGCCUUGUACACACCGCCCGUCACACCAUGAGAGCCGGGGGGACCCGAAGUCGGUAGUCUAACCGCAAGGAGGACGCCGCCGAAGGUAAAACUGGUGAUUGGGGUGAAGUCGUAACAAGGUAGCCGUAGGAGAACCUGCGGCUG
This 1211-nucleotide ribosomal RNA is filed under the name metagenome. RNAcentral's name for it is "bacterial SSU rRNA". It matches the Rfam family "Bacterial small subunit ribosomal RNA", at positions 286 to 1520 of the family's 1533-position model. The record is from RNAcentral.